AUUGAACGCUGGCGGCAUGCUUUACACAUGCAAGUCGAACGGUAACAGGCCGCAAGGUGCUGACGAGUGGCGAACGGGUGAGUAAUGCACCGGAACGUGCCCAGUCGUGGGGGAUAACUACUCGACAGAGUACCUAAUACCGCAUACGAUCUAUGGAUGAACGCGGGGGACCGUAAGGCCUCGCGCGAUUGGAUCGGCCGGUGUCAGAUUAGGUAGUUGGUGGGGUAAAGGCUCACCAAGCCAACGAUCUGUAGCUGGUCUGAGAGGAGGACCAGCGACAUUGGGACGGAGACACGGCCCAGACUCCUACGGGAGGCAGCAGUGGGGAAUUUUGGACAAUGGGCGCAAGCCUGAUCCAGCAAUGCCGCGUGCAGGAAGAAGGCCUUCGGGUUGUAAACUGCUUUUGUACGGAACGAAACGGCUCUGGUUAAUACCCGGGGCUAAUGACGGUACCGUAAGAAUAAGCACCGGCUAACUACGUG
RNAcentral lists this ribosomal RNA (482 nucleotides) under uncultured bacterium. RNAcentral's name for it is "partial 16S ribosomal RNA". It matches the Rfam family "Bacterial small subunit ribosomal RNA", at positions 30 to 507 of the family's 1533-position model. The record is from RNAcentral.